AGGGAUCAUUACUGAGUUACCGCUCUAUAACCCUUUGUGAACAUACCUAACCGUUGCUUCGGCGGGCAGGGGAAGCCUCUCGCGGGCCUCCCCUCCCGGCGCCGGCCCCCACCACGGGGACGGGGCGCCCACCGGAGGAAACCAAACUCUAUUUACACGACGUCUCUUCUGAGUGGCACAAGCAAAUAAUUAAAACUUUUAACAACGGAUCUCUCGGUUCUGGCAUCGAUGAAGAACGCAGCGAAAUGCGAUAAGUAAUGUGAAUUGCAGAAUUCAGUGAAUCAUCGAAUCUUUGAACGCACAUUGCGCUCGCCAGCAUUCUGGCGAGCAUGCCUGUUCGAGCGUCAUUUCAACCCUCAAGCACCGCUUGGUUUUGGGGCCCCACGGCACACGUGGGCCCUUAAAGGUAGUGGCGGACUCUCCCGGAGCCUCCUUUGCGUAGUAACUAACGUCUCGCACUGGGAUCCGGAGGGACUCUUGCCGUAAAACCCCCAAAUUUUUUACAGGUUGACCUCGGAUCAGGUAGGAAUACCCGCUGAA
RNAcentral lists this ribosomal RNA (540 nucleotides) under Colletotrichum scovillei. RNAcentral's name for it is "eukaryotic LSU rRNA". The stretch from base 194 to 347 matches the Rfam family "5.8S ribosomal RNA". Lineage: Eukaryota; Fungi; Ascomycota; Sordariomycetes; Glomerellales; Glomerellaceae. The record is from RNAcentral.